This 72-nucleotide transfer RNA is filed under the name Flavobacteriales bacterium. RNAcentral describes it as "tRNA-Glu". It matches the Rfam family "tRNA". From Rfam's summary of the family: Transfer RNA (tRNA) molecules are approximately 80 nucleotides in length. Their secondary structure includes four short double-helical elements and three loops (D, anti-codon, and T loops). Further hydrogen bonds mediate the characteristic L-shaped molecular structure. tRNAs have two regions of fundamental functional importance: the anti-codon, which is responsible for specific mRNA codon recognition, and the 3' end, to which the tRNAs corresponding amino acid is attached (by aminoacyl-tRNA synthetases). tRNAs cope with the degeneracy of the genetic code in two manners: having more than one tRNA (with a specific anti-codon) for a particular amino acid; and 'wobble' base-pairing, i.e. permitting non-standard base-pairing at the 3rd anti-codon position. Lineage: Bacteria; Pseudomonadati; Bacteroidota; Flavobacteriia; Flavobacteriales. The record is from RNAcentral.
GCUCCGUUAGUAUAAUGGUCAGUACACCUCACUUUCUAUGAGGGAAUAGGGGUUCGAUUCCCCUACGGAGUA